This 496-nucleotide ribosomal RNA is filed under the name uncultured bacterium. RNAcentral's name for it is "partial 16S ribosomal RNA". It matches the Rfam family "Bacterial small subunit ribosomal RNA", at positions 29 to 523 of the family's 1533-position model. The record is from RNAcentral.
AUUGAACGCUGGCGGCAUGCCUUACACAUGCAAGUCGAACGGUAGAGGGGGCAACCCCUCGAGAGUGGCGAACGGGUGAGUAAUGCAUCGGAACGUGCCCAGUAGUGGGGGAUAGCCCGGCGAAAGCCGGAUUAAUACCGCAUGAGACCUACGGGUGAAAGGGGGGGAUCGCAAGACCUCUCGCUAUUGGAGCGGCCGAUGUCAAAUUAGGUAGUUGGUGGGGUAAAGGCCUACCAAGCCGACGAUCUGUAGCUGGUCUGAGAGGACGACCAGCCACACUGGGACUGAGACACGGCCCAGACUCCUACGGGAGGCAGCAGUGGGGAAUUUUGGACAAUGGGCGAAAGCCUGAUCCAGCCAUGCCGCGUGCGGGAAGAAGGCCUUCGGGUUGUAAACCGCUUUUGUCAGGGAAGAAAUCCUUUGAGCUAAUACCUCGGGGGGAUGACGGUACCCGAAGAAUAAGCACCGGCUAACUACGUGCCAGCCGCCGCAGUAA